This 481-nucleotide ribosomal RNA is filed under the name uncultured bacterium. Its description in RNAcentral is "bacterial SSU rRNA". It matches the Rfam family "Bacterial small subunit ribosomal RNA", at positions 100 to 565 of the family's 1533-position model. The record is from RNAcentral.
GAACGGGUGAGUAACACGUAGAUAAUCUGCCUUUCAGACGGGGACAACUCAGGGAAACUUGUGCUAAUACCCGAUGAGACCACAAGAAGGGAUUUUUGUGGCCAAAGGCGGGCAGCAAUGCUCGUGCUGAAAGAUGAGUCUGCGUCCUAUCAGCUAGUUGGUGGGGUAAAUGCCUACCAAGGCUAAGACGGGUAGCCGGCCUGAGAGGGUGAACGGCCACACUGGGACUGAGACACGGCCCAGACUCCUACGGGAGGCAGCAGUGAGGAAUUUUCCGCAAUGGGCGCAAGCCUGACGGAGCGACGCCGCGUGAGGGAUGACAGCUUUCGGGUUGUAAACCUCUUUUAUUAAGGAAAAAGAUCUAUAUGCUAAUAUCAUGUAGAUUUGAUGGUACUUAUUGAAUAAGCCCCGGCUAACUACGUGCCAGCAGCCGCGGUAAUACGUAGGGGGCGAGCGUUGUCCAGAGUUACUGGGCGUAAAG